This 481-nucleotide ribosomal RNA is filed under the name uncultured bacterium. Its description in RNAcentral is "bacterial SSU rRNA". It matches the Rfam family "Bacterial small subunit ribosomal RNA", at positions 30 to 526 of the family's 1533-position model. The record is from RNAcentral.
AUUGAACGCUGGCGGCAGGCUUAACACAUGCAAGUCGAGCGGAGAGAGGUAGCUUGCUACUGAUCUUAGCGGCGGACGGGUGAGUAAUACUUAGGAAUCUGGCUAUUAGUGGGGGACAACAUUUCGAAAGGGAUGCUAAUACCGCAUACGUCCUACGGGAGAAAGCAGGGGAUCUUCGGACCUUGCGCUAAUAGAUGAGCCUAAGUCGGAUUAGCUAGUUGGUGGGGUAAAGGCCUACCAAGGCGACGAUCUGUAGCGGGUCUGAGAGGAUGAUCCGCCACACUGGGACUGAGACACGGCCCAGACUCCUACGGGAGGCAGCAGUGGGGAAUCUUCUGCAAUGGGCGCAAGCCUGACAGAGCGGCGUCAUGUGAAGGAAGAAGGCCUGAAAUAGGUUGUAAACUUCUUUUACUGAGUAAUGAAUACUGACAACGCAGUAAAAAAGUAUCGGCUAACUCCGUGCCAGCCGCCGCAGUAACAC